This 1657-nucleotide long non-coding RNA is filed under the name Monodelphis domestica (gray short-tailed opossum). RNAcentral describes it as "lncRNA (ENSMODG00000045490.1)". Lineage: Eukaryota; Metazoa; Chordata; Mammalia; Didelphimorphia; Didelphidae. The record is from RNAcentral.
GUUAUCGUGAAGAUAACUAGGUAUAUACACACAUUUAAAUAUAUAUAUUCCAAACAGAAUGCUCUUGUUUGCAUGACAGGUCAUCAGUCCCAGCUAUUCCUGUCUUGUUGCAGGCUUUCACAAUAUUAAAAUAUAUAUAUAUAUAUAUAUACACAUAGAUUAGCUGAAGAUUAGAUAAAGGGAGAUCCCAAAAGGGAGGGUAGUUACAUCUGUAGGUAGUGAACUGAGUUUUGAUAGAAGCCUGGAAAACCAAAAGGCAAAGAUGUAGAAGAAGAAAAUCCUAGGCAUGGGGAAUAGCCAGUUCAAAGGCAGAGAAAAAGGGAAUCAGAGUAUCAUGCCACAUCCCUGAAUUAAAAUGUAAGUUUACACAUGGUAGGAAUUGUUUGUACCCCCAGGAAUGAGUCCAUAGAUUGGUACCUAGCAAGUGUUUAAUAAAUCUUUUCUUUCAUUCACUCAUUUACUGAAAAAAAGUAUAUAAUAGGGACUUUUAUAGGGACUGUGGUUUCACAGAAAGUAAACUCAGGCAUUAUGUAAGGUUCUUAUUGCCUCCUUCCUUCACCAUUGUAUAUUCUUUAAACAGUGUAAUCAAGUUAAUUUUGAACUACAGAAAUUAGAAAAGAUAAAUGCCUUGCUAAUCAUAAAGAAUGAUUUAAAAGGGCACAACUAUUUUGCAUCUCAUUUGUAGACUACUUAUGUUCCUAAGAAAUUCUCUUGAAGAGUAACUAGCUCAACUCUUUCUUUGUCUACUUAUUGUAAUUAUAAAUCAAAGAUACAUUCCCCCAGAGAAUAUAUGGUCACUAAGAUGGUAGGAAAACCAAACUUUGAAAUCCAGUACGUUGUUUUUUUUUUAUUAAUAGAAUUUACUUAUAUGACUCCCUCCCCUACCUGAAGCAUAGAUGACAGCAUCCAGGAGACAUGUAUGAAUAUAUAAAUUAUGUCUUUUAUGUUGUUAUUUUUCAGUUCAUUCUCUGGAGGUAACAUUCACAAGUUAUUUUUCAAGUAUUAUAUCUGUAGUUGUGUAUAACGUUCUCUUCAUUCUACUCAUUUUGCUGUUUAUUAUCCUAGGUAGUUCUAAAUUGUUGUUGUUGUUUUUUUUAAUUAGCCCAUCAUUUCUUAUGGCCCAGUAGUAUUCCAUAAAUCUGGAAUAUUUUUAAUUGCAUACUAAAAUAUGCUAAUUGUCUCAUAAAAUGAUAUUUAAUUGGUGAAGAAUACAAAUUGGCCUGCCUUAAAAAAUAUUUGUCUCAGCUUAAGAGUGACACGGGUAGUUGGGGUUAAGUGAUCUGUCCAGGAUCAUACUGCUAGGAAGUAUCUGAGGCCAGUUUUGAACCCAGGUCACCUAGACAAUGUAGAUGUUCACCUAGACAAUAGAAAAUGUUCUCGUUGUCCCUAUUGAGGAGGUCUUUGAAUGGGCAGCGAUAAGUGUCUCAUGAACAAUUUCUUGCCUUGAGCAUUGAUUCAACACUAAUGAUAUUUGAUUACUAGCCAGUUCAUAUGUUUGGGUUAUCUCCUUGGCCUUGGCUAAUUAAAGUUAGGAGUUUAGAUGGAGAAAAGCCAGCUUUGUGCAAACAUAUUACUUCUGUCUAGUGAAGCCAGAAAGAGAGAAGCACAUGAUAUCAAGUAUAGUAGAUAAUGGAGGUAGUAGCCUAGUAGCAAUGCA